GACGGAGGGGGCAAGCGUUGUCCGGAAUCACUGGGCGUAAAGCGCGUGUAGGCGGUCGUGUGCGUCGGUGCUGAAAGCGCCCGGCUUAACCGGGCGAGGCGUGCCGAUACGAUGCGACUGGAGGCAGGCAGAGGGCGGCGGAAUUCCGGGGGUUGCGGUGAAAUGCGUAGAGCUCCGGAGGAACGCCGGUGGGGUAGCCGGCCGCCUGGGCCUGACCUGACGCUGAGACGCGACAGCGUGGGGAGCAAACCGG
This 253-nucleotide ribosomal RNA is filed under the name uncultured bacterium. Its description in RNAcentral is "partial 16S ribosomal RNA". It matches the Rfam family "Bacterial small subunit ribosomal RNA", at positions 524 to 776 of the family's 1533-position model. The record is from RNAcentral.